GCCCAGAUGGGAUUAGCUUGUUGGUGAGGUAACGGCUCACCAAGGCGACGAUCCCUAGCUGGUCUGAGAGGAUGACCAGCCACACUGGAACUGAGACACGGUCCAGACUCCUACGGGAGGCAGCAGUGGGGAAUAUUGCACAAUGGGCGCAAGCCUGAUGCAGCCAUGCCGCGUGUAUGAAGAAGGCCUUCGGGUUGUAAAGUACUUUCAGCGGGGAGGAAGGUGUUGUGGUUAAUAACCGCAGCAAUUGACGUUACCCGCAGAAGAAGCACCGGCUAACUCCGUGCCAGCAGCCGCGGUAAUACGGAGGGUGCAAGCGUUAAUCGGAAUUACUGGGCGUAAAGCGCACGCAG
This 353-nucleotide ribosomal RNA is filed under the name Salmonella enterica. Its description in RNAcentral is "bacterial SSU rRNA". It matches the Rfam family "Bacterial small subunit ribosomal RNA", at positions 229 to 574 of the family's 1533-position model. Lineage: Bacteria; Pseudomonadati; Pseudomonadota; Gammaproteobacteria; Enterobacterales; Enterobacteriaceae. The record is from RNAcentral.